RNAcentral lists this ribosomal RNA (492 nucleotides) under uncultured bacterium. RNAcentral's name for it is "partial 16S ribosomal RNA". It matches the Rfam family "Bacterial small subunit ribosomal RNA", at positions 29 to 507 of the family's 1533-position model. The record is from RNAcentral.
AGUGAACGCUGGCGGUAGGCCUAACACAUGCAAGUCGAACGGCAGCACAGUAAGAGCUUGCUCUUACGGGUGGCCAGUCGCGGACGGGUGAGGUAUACAACCGAAUCUACUUUUUCGUGGGGGAUAAGGUAGGGAAACUUACGCUCAUAUCGCAUACGACCCACCGGUGAAAGCAGGGGAACUUCGGACCUGUCGCGAUUGAAUGAGCCGAUGUCGGAUUAGCUAGUUGGCGGGGUAAAGGCCCACCAAGGCGACGAUCCGUAGCUGGACGGUGAGGAGGAUAGGCGGCAUGGGAGGUGAGACAGCGACCAGGCUCCUGCGGGAGGCAGCAGUGUGGAAUAUGGGACAGUGGUCGCAAGCCUGAUCCAGUCAUACGGCGUGGGUGAAGAAGGCGUUCGGGUUGUAAAGCCCGUUUGUGGGGAAAGAAAAGCAGCAGGUUAAUACCCCGCUUUUCUGACGGUACCCAAAGAAUAAGCACCGGCUAACUUCGUG